Molecule: long non-coding RNA, 3442 nt
Filed under: Actinidia chinensis (golden kiwifruit)
Lineage: Eukaryota; Viridiplantae; Streptophyta; Magnoliopsida; Ericales; Actinidiaceae
Description: long non-coding RNA (ACHI_LNC005271)
Source: RNAcentral
UCUCAAUGACUCUGUCCCUCCCUCCGUGACUCCGUCUCUCUCUCUCCCGUGUUCUUAUUUCACUCCCAUCGAGUCAUCGACGCAUAUUUCUUCAACCGUAAAUCGGUUAUUGUUUCGAUCGGCAAUACGAUUACGCUUUCUCGUUCUCGACGCAAAACUUCCACUCCGACGAACGGCCGACGAUCUCUGGUUAGAUUCGAAUUCCAAUUGCUUGAAUUGUGUAUUUGCUUUUAUGUAUAUUUCUGUAUACUUUUGGUAUUUGUUAUUAAAUUUGAUGGAUGUCUGAAAUUUAUGCUAUUGAAAUUUAUGGAGAGUCUCCAACGAGUCAUUGAGCUCCUUCUUUGUGAUCCUACCAUCCCCAUUUCUAUCAAACAUUUGGAAAACCUGAAUGAGCUUGGACGCGUCCAUUCUCCGCCGGAGAGGAGAAGGUGGUUGUGGUGGUGGAUGGGUGGUUUUGUUGGUGGUGAGGGUUUGAUGUUGGAGGUAAGUCCUGAGCUUCUUGGGAACCUAAUAAACGAGGCGUGUAUUUAGGAGGUUGUAAACAAGUCAAGUCCUCAACAAAAUGGCUGGCAUUGGAGGAUGCGGUGUUGGAAGGAGGUUUUAGUGGUGCGUGUUCUAUUGUUGUUGAGAAAAAUUGGAGACACAUUUGGGUGCUAAAUAAGGAGUCUAAUUAAUUAGGCCAAAUCUUCUGUAUAAAAGGCAUGUACCGUACAACACCAAAGAAUUGAUCUUGUGGUUGAGAUUCUCUCCUACCAAAUAUAUUGAUUGGGAUCGAGUCUUUUAGCGAAAAAUGCAGGUUUCCUUAUUGCCUCCAAACGAUUAGCAAAAUAAAUGUGUGUUAUACUCAUUAGCUAUGCACGAUAGUGGGUGCAGUUACGAAUCAACAAUGUUAGUUAUUAACAAAUGUGAUGUUUGUUAUGAAUAUAGUUAAGCGGUAAAAUCAAAAAUCAAAUCAAAGUGGGGGUAAGUUUUUUCACAAAUUAAAGUGGAUCACAACUUUAGUGUGAGAAAUGAAUUUUGGUAAUGAAUUAAUGUGGUUUUACUUGGAUCUAGAAUUAAAAUUUUAUAAUAAAUUUGGUAUGUUAAAGGCUUAUCCUGAAUCUAUUGUGAUGAUUCAAAUUAUUCAUUUUGUUGGAUUUGAUAACACGAUCAUUCAUCAUAUUCGGAUAUCGGUGGCUGGUAUGCAUAUAUCACCAGAUUAUUUUUGUACGAUAAGUACGACUUUCAGAAUAUACCGUCCGAUUUUUUAAGACAAAUAUGUGCUUCGAUUGUGCGACUUUCGAUGUUAAUCAACUUAAUUUUUUGCAUUAGUGAAAUUUUCAGUAUGUAUUAUAAGAUAAUGGUUCAGAUCAUUCAGGUUGGUUUGGAAUAGGUCAAUAACCUACCAAAUUUUAUUAUUCAGCUCUUUUGAACUUUAAAGAAACAUAAUUUUUUUAUUUAAAUUUAGAAUUUAGUUUGAUCGAGAAAUAAAAAGAUGUUUACUUACCCAAAAAAGAGAAACAAAAGGAUGUUGGAUCAGACCAUCUUCUAUGAUUGAGUAGUUAAAUGAUUAAUUAAAAAUCAAAUUAUGGCAAAAAAAUGUAUCAAAUGAUAUUACUAAAAAAUGCUGAUCUAAUUGUACAAAUGCUAUUUAUUUUAUUUUUGUGGAAAAAUAAAUAAAAUCCCAAGAGUUUGACCUUGGUAAGAAAUUAAAUUAUAACAAAUCAAAGCUUAGAAUUUUAAUUCGGUCACAAUUAAAGUCAUUCGUUAGUUUUUGUUCAUCUAGGAUUAAUUGAACUAAGUCUCAUCAAAAAGCUUGGGGCCCAUAGCCCGGUCUCGGCUCGGCCCGGCCCAUGGUUCAGAGGGCCCAAGCCCAGGAUAGUGUGGGUUGGGUUGGGGUCCAAGUUUAAAACCCGUGGACCGGCCCACGCCCCGACCCAUGACAAAGCUCGUGGGCCGUCCUGUGGGCUAACUUAAAUGCAUUAUUUUUUUUUAUAAUAUUUUAUAUAUAAAGAAUCAAUAUUUUUGAAUAAUUUUAUGCAAUUAUGUAUUAUUUUUUUCAUCUUUAAUAUUUUUAUUUUAAAAUAAAAUAUAUUUUAAAAAAAUAUUAUUUAAAAGCCCGUGGGCUGGGCUUGGGUCUCAUCUUUUAAGUCGGCCCAAUCCCGACUCGACUCAUUGACCAGUCAAAGUCCAUCGGGUCCGGCCCAGUCAAAAUGGGUCUGGGCCGGCCCAAGCUCGGCCCAUGACGACCUAAACCGAACCAAUUUGUUCCUACAAAAAAAACUUUAGAAAAUGAUGUCGUUAGACGUUUCCCCACUUUUAAAGCCCUAAAUAAUCUAAUUAGAGAUUCAAACUUAAGUUGUUAUGGCUCAAUUUGUUAUAAUUAAAACUAUAUAAAAUUUAAUUUAUUAUUGAGGUCAAACCUUAGGGCCAUUUUUGCAAUUUUUUUUUUUUUUUUUAUAAAAGAACAAAAUCAAUGGUUAUUUCCUCAAACACCCCCUCAUCUAUUAGCUUGUGUCACUAACACCCCCUCAACUAUAAAACCGACCAAAUUCACCCCCUCAUUUAUUCAAAAUUGUCACUAAUACCCCCUCCGCCUACAUUCCGUCAGUCAAUGCAUCAAAAAGUGGUCAGUUAAUUGCAAUUAUUUUCACAAUGGACCACCGCCCGUCCUGCCCUUUACUCCUCUACACACAUUAUAUAUAUUAUAUAUAUAUGAUAGUAUAUAUAUAUAUAUAUAUAUAUAUAUAUUAUAUAUAUAUAUAUAUACCUUGAAAGAGCAACCCACUCCAUCUAUUUCUCUCUUCUCUCUCGUUCAUCUAUUUCUCCUCUUUUCGCCAUAGUUGGAAGUAGCAGUAAUAGUAAUAGCAACUAAGAAGCCUACAAUGGUGAGUUUUUGUGUUAUUGCGGAGUUAGAGCUCUGCUUAGGACAGCUAGGACAGAAUAGCAACUUUGGUAACCGAUUUCUUGCAUGUGUGAACUUCAAAGUAUGUAUAAGUCUUUGAUGUGUUUUUACUUAAUUUCUCUUUUUACCUUUUUGACUAUUCCUCCACUUUUUUUUUGUGUGUGUAGAAAGAACUGUCUUUGUGAGUAUUUCAACUGGGUUGAUCCUCCAAGCUUUCCAAGAGUGAUGGAGUUUAGGAAGAUUAUGGUGGGAAAAAAAUGGAUUUGUAAAAGAGUGAGGAGCUAAAAAAGAGCAAUUAAAAGCUUUUGCUGAAGAUGGAAGAGAUGAGAAAUAAGAAUAAAAUUAUGUUCAAGAGGAACAAGGCCCUUGCUAAUGCCCUAGAUGCAACUCAAGGGAGAGUAAAAGUGUUAAAUGGCAUAGUAAUCAUGUUAAUCACUAUAGAGAUUGUAAUGUGGCUGAUUAAACAUUAACAGCAAAAAUGUUGUACUUGCCUUAAAAGAGUGCAUGUAUAAGUUGUUUUGUAAUGGAAUGAUUAUGAUGACUCUUUUAUGUUGUGUA